AUCCGGGUUGCGGACAGUGUCUGGUGGGUAGUUUGACUGGGGCGGUCUCCUCCUAAAGAGUAACGGAGGAGCACGAAGGUUGGCUAAUCCUGGUCGGACAUCAGGAGGUUAGUGCAAAGGCAUAAGCCAGCUUGACUGCGAGAGUGACGGCUCGAGCAGGUGCGAAAGCAGGUCUUAGUGAUCCGGUGGUUCUGAAUGGAAGGGCCAUCGCUCAACGGAUAAAAGGUACUCCGGGGAUAACAGGCUGAUACCGCCCAAGAGUUCAUAUCGACGGCGGUGUUUGGCACCUCGAUGUCGGCUCAUCACAUCCUGGGGCUGAAGUAGGUCCCAAGGGUAUGGCUGUUCGCCAUUUAAAGUGGUACGCGAGCUGGGUUUAGAACGUCGUGAGACAGUUCGGUCCCUAUCUGCCGUGGGCGCUGGAGAAUUGAGGGGGGCUGCUCCUAGUACGAGAGGACCGGAGUGGACGCAUCACUGGUGUUCGGGUUGUCAUGCCAAUGGCACUGCCCGGUAGCUAAAUGCGGAAGAGAUAAGUGCUGAAAGCAUCUAAGCACGAAACUUGCCCCGAGAUGAGUUCUCCCUGAGACUUAGAGUCUCCUGAAGGAACGUUGAAGACGACGACGUUGAUAGGCCGGGUGUGUAAGCGCAGCGAUGCGUUGAGCUAACCGGUACUAAUGAACCGUGAGGCUUAACCUUACAACGCCGAAG
This 705-nucleotide ribosomal RNA is filed under the name Salmonella enterica. RNAcentral describes it as "partial 23S ribosomal RNA". It matches the Rfam family "Bacterial large subunit ribosomal RNA", at positions 2238 to 2925 of the family's 2925-position model. Lineage: Bacteria; Pseudomonadati; Pseudomonadota; Gammaproteobacteria; Enterobacterales; Enterobacteriaceae. The record is from RNAcentral.